UACGUAGGGCGCAAGCGUUGUCCGGAAUUAUUGGGCGUAAAGAGCUCGUAGGCGGCUUGUCACGUCGGGUGUGAAAGCCCGGGGCUUAACCCCGGGUCUGCAUUCGAUACGGGCAGGCUAGAGUGUGGUAGGGGAGAUCGGAAUUCCUGGUGUAGCGGUGAAAUGCGCAGAUGUCAGGAGGAACACCGGUGGCGAAGGCGGGUCUCUGGGCCGUAACUGACGCUGAGGAGCGAAAGCAUGGGGAGCGAACAGG
Molecule: ribosomal RNA, 253 nt
Filed under: uncultured bacterium
Lineage: Bacteria
Description: partial 16S ribosomal RNA
Rfam family: Bacterial small subunit ribosomal RNA
Source: RNAcentral